Non-coding RNA from Bactrocera oleae (olive fruit fly), 1437 nucleotides. Lineage: Eukaryota; Metazoa; Arthropoda; Insecta; Diptera; Tephritidae. The record is from RefSeq and is a predicted model, not a curated record.
GUCUUAUUGACAAAAAUAAGACAUCAAGCUUUCUCGUUUUUUUGUUUAUGUUUAUUUUAAUUUCAAGAUUUAUCUGCGUGUUCCCAGAAAUACAAGUUGAUAAAGUGUAAUAAGGGGAAUCCCAAAAAUAGAGAUUUCCACUAUCGCUGUUGUAUUCAGGGACUCAAGUUAAAAUAACGCGUUGAAGCAGCAUUUCACUUGAAGAAAAAAUUAUUGAUUAUUAACAAAGUUAAUUAAGAGACGACAAAAAAAGAUACUGCUUAUAAGUUUAAAAUUCUUCCUACCACAUUUUCAAAUACUUUAAAAUUAAAGAAGUGAUUUUAAAAGAUGCAGAUGAUGAGACAGUAAGCAUCAAACGCAAACGAUUUCGAAUUUGCUAGUUUGAUGAUAUUGAUGAAGCAGUACUAAAAUGGAUAGCCGUUGCACGUGAUAAAAAUAUUCCUUUAUCUGGAUUAUUAUUGAUGCAAACGGCCAGAGAUUUUCCUGAAGCACUAAGACACCAUGAAUUUGAGGCAAGAACAGGUUGGUUAGACAAGUUCAACAUGACAUGGUAUUGUUAUGUAGGAAAAGUUCUAACAAAAUCGUGAAGAAUGAAUAAGAAAUGUUUUACCAAAAUUGAUUGAAAAUUACAACGCAAACAGCAUCUCUAAUGCCGAUGAGACUAUUUUGUUUUUCAAAUGCUUGCAAACAAAACACUGACAUUCAAAAAUGAAUGCUUUGGUGGGAAACAAAGCAAGGAAAGAAUCAUUGUCCUGAUAGAAAUCAAUAUGACCGGAUCUGAAACGCUUAAAUUGCUUGUAGUCGUAAGGCCAAGAUUUCGAGGUGCUUUACGUCAAUAAAAUCUUUUGAUGUCGAUUAUGAAUUUAACAAAAAAGCAUGGAUUGUGAGAUUUUCACGAGGUUGUAGUUAUAUUCUAAACCUCGAAAAAAAAAGUUUGAUCAAAACAGGAAGGUAUUCCUUUUUGUGGAUAACUGCACUGGUUAUUUUCCUCUCAACAUGACUUCAUUACUGCAACCAAUGGACCAAGGCAUUAUCUAUAACAUGAAACAACAUUACAGAAAAUGAAUUUUAUUGAAUAUAUUGGCUUAACUGGAACUUAUUCAAAAUUUAAGCACUGUAUGGAAUAUCUAUGUGAAACCAGGAACAACUGCCAACUGUUUUACAAAGGCAGGAUUUUCAAAAGAUACCAUGCAGAAUCCAUCUGAGCAUUGAGAUGAAGAGAAUACUUGGUGAUUUGGCAGAUACUGAUGAGGGAUUACCUACAUGAGGACAAGUUUCUUCAUUCAUUAACUUAAUCGGAAUCUUUGCGGAGAUGAGGAGUAACAGAUAAAUGUUUUCUACUCUCUAAAUGAUUUAGAACAUUUUGUUAAAAAUGAAAAUUGGUAGAGUGUAAUUCAAACCAAACUUACUGAUUAUUAAAUAUAAUCAAAAAUAAAA